RNAcentral lists this ribosomal RNA (661 nucleotides) under Salmonella enterica. RNAcentral describes it as "partial 23S ribosomal RNA". It matches the Rfam family "Bacterial large subunit ribosomal RNA", at positions 2164 to 2824 of the family's 2925-position model. Lineage: Bacteria; Pseudomonadati; Pseudomonadota; Gammaproteobacteria; Enterobacterales; Enterobacteriaceae. The record is from RNAcentral.
GUGGACGCCAGUCUGCAUGGAGCCGACCUUGAAAUACCACCCUUUAAUGUUUGAUGUUCUAACGUGGACCCGUAAUCCGGGUUGCGGACAGUGUCUGGUGGGUAGUUUGACUGGGGCGGUCUCCUCCUAAAGAGUAACGGAGGAGCACGAAGGUUGGCUAAUCCUGGUCGGACAUCAGGAGGUUAGUGCAAUGGCAUAAGCCAGCUUGACUGCGAGCGUGACGGCGCGAGCAGGUGCGAAAGCAGGUCAUAGUGAUCCGGUGGUUCUGAAUGGAAGGGCCAUCGCUCAACGGAUAAAAGGUACUCCGGGGAUAACAGGCUGAUACCGCCCAAGAGUUCAUAUCGACGGCGGUGUUUGGCACCUCGAUGUCGGCUCAUCACAUCCUGGGGCUGAAGUAGGUCCCAAGGGUAUGGCUGUUCGCCAUUUAAAGUGGUACGCGAGCUGGGUUUAGAACGUCGUGAGACAGUUCGGUCCCUAUCUGCCGUGGGCGCUGGAGAACUGAGGGGGGCUGCUCCUAGUACGAGAGGACCGGAGUGGACGCAUCACUGGUGUUCGGGUUGUCAUGCCAAUGGCACUGCCCGGUAGCUAAAUGCGGAAGAGAUAAGUGCUGAAAGCAUCUAAGCACGAAACUUGCCCCGAGAUGAGUUCUCCCUGAGACUUA